This is a long non-coding RNA of Brassica napus (rape), 887 nucleotides long. RefSeq lists it as uncharacterized. Lineage: Eukaryota; Viridiplantae; Streptophyta; Magnoliopsida; Brassicales; Brassicaceae. The record is from RefSeq and is a predicted model, not a curated record. The transcript is spliced from 3 exons.
CGGCGAACCCACAGCUGAAGAAAACGUCCACAUGGCUUCAUGUGAGUCUCUGUCUACAUCGGUUGAGUGUUUUCAGAUGAUUUUCUUUGGCGACCAGAGUAUGAGUUUGCUAUUGGAAGCCUAAAACUGCUUGCUGCGCUACAUGUUCUAGAAUAGUUAAAUCAUCUACUAGAAUGGACGAGACCAACCAGGCUAUUGAACGCUCUAAACAGCUAAGUUACACAGGAAAGAAGUGUAUUCCACUUGGGUCUUUGAUGAUGUAUCUCUAGAUAACACUUUGUGUUUCUUUUCAGGUUGUUCAUCACACAUUGGAAAUUGGUACACAGACUGCAGCUAAUCUAAAGGGCCAUGUAACACAAAGCAUGCACCAUCUUGUCCUCAUAUUCUUAUGAGGCGCACUGACCUAGAAAUUUUAGACUGAUCAAAUGGGGGCGGGUUGUGAACGAGCUAGACACGAUCCAGUUCUCUAUCAAGAAACCCUCGCAGCUGGUGAAAGAGAUAGGGAAGACAGGUAGCUACAGAUAAAUGCAUAAUGAUGUUCCUGUUUCUAAUUGUUUGCUGUGUUAUAGCCAUUAUCGUAGUGAAGAUCGUGAACCCAAACAACAAAGAUAUUAGAGACAUCCCUGGAAUAGGUCCUCCAGCGCGAUGCGAUCGAGAAGGCUAUUAUACUUGAGGAAUCCAGACCAGAGUACUUUUAGUUGGACCGGUUGGACCGAGCAAAGGACUCCAUGGUCGAGAAGGGUUUCGUACACAUUAAACUUUGUGUUACAUUAGUGGUUUUGUAUUACAUCAUCAUUCUUUUAAUCCUAUGCCCGUAUGUAAAAGUUUUAGUUCUAACUAAUAUUAUUCUUUUCAAAAAUAUAUGUAGUCCACUGAUUCGUCUUGUA